Molecule: ribosomal RNA, 253 nt
Filed under: uncultured bacterium
Lineage: Bacteria
Description: partial 16S ribosomal RNA
Rfam family: Bacterial small subunit ribosomal RNA
Source: RNAcentral
UACGGAGGGUGCGAGCGUUGUCCGGAAUCACUGGGCGUAAAGGGCGCGUCGGCGGCCUGGUAAGUCGGGGGUGAAAUCCUGCGGCUUAACCGCAGGGCUGCCUUCUAAACUGUCAGGCUCGAGCACGGUAGAGGCAGAUGGAAUUCCCGGUGUAGCGGUGGAAUGCGUAGAGAUCGGGAAGAACAUCAGUGGCGAAGGCGGUCUGCUGGGCCGUUGCUGACGCUGAGGCGCGACAGCGUGGGGAGCAAACAGG